UGGGGAAUCUUCCGCAAUGGACGAAAGUCUGACGGAGCAACGCCGCGUGAGUGAAGAAGGUUUUCGGAUCGUAAAACUCUGUCUUUUGGGGCGAACGUGAGUAUGGUGAACAAUCAUAGUCAGUGACGGUACCAAAGGAGGAAGCCACGGCUAACUACGUGCCAGCAGCCGCGGUAAUACGUAGGUGGCAAGCGUUGUCCGGAAUUAUUGGGCGUAAAGAGCGCGUAGGCGGGAUAGUCAGUCUGUUGUAAAGUGCGGGGCUCAACCCCGUGAUCGCAAUGGAAACAGCUAUUCUUGAGUGCAGGAGAGGAAAGUGGAAUUCCCAGUGUAGCGGUGAAAUGCGUAGAUAUUGGGAGGAACACCAGUGGCGAAGGCGACUUUCUGGACUGUGUCUGACGCUGAGGCGCGAAAGCCAGGGGAGCGAACGGGAUUAGAUACCCCCGGUAGUCCUGGCCGUAAACGAUGGGUACUAGGUGUGGGAGGUAUCGACCCCUUUCCGUGCCGGAGUUAACGCAAUAAGUACCCCGCCUGGGGAGUACGGUCGCAAGACUGAAACUUAAAUGAAUUGACGGGGUCAUAGCUGUUUCCUG
RNAcentral lists this ribosomal RNA (590 nucleotides) under uncultured bacterium. RNAcentral's name for it is "partial 16S ribosomal RNA". It matches the Rfam family "Bacterial small subunit ribosomal RNA", at positions 355 to 1376 of the family's 1533-position model. The record is from RNAcentral.